CGGUUUGAUCCUGGCUCAAGGAUGAACGCUAGCGGCAGGCUUAANACAUGCAAGUCGAGGGGUAUGCCGAUUUAUCGGCAGAGACCGGCGCACGGGUGCGUAACGCGUAUGCAAUCUACCUUUGCAGAGGGAUAGCCCAGAAAAUUUGGAUUAAUACCUCAUAGUAUAGUACUUUGGCAUCAAGGAACUAUUAAAGUCACAACGGCAAAAGAUGAGCAUGCGUCCCAUUAGCUAGUUGGUAAGGUAACGGCUUACCAAGGCUACGAUGGGUAGGGGUCCUGAGAGGGAGAUCCCCCACACUGGUACUGAGACACGGACCAGACUCCUACGGGAGGCAGCAGUGAGGAAUAUUGGACAAUGGGCGCAAGCCUGAUCCAGCCAUGCCGCGUGCAGGAAUAAGGUCCUAUGGAUUGUAAACUGCUUUUAUACAGGAAGAAACACACCCUCGUGAGGGUACUUGACGGUACUGUAUGAAUAAGGACCGGCUAACUCCGUG
This 496-nucleotide ribosomal RNA is filed under the name uncultured bacterium. RNAcentral describes it as "bacterial SSU rRNA". It matches the Rfam family "Bacterial small subunit ribosomal RNA", at positions 9 to 507 of the family's 1533-position model. The record is from RNAcentral.